This is a long non-coding RNA of Panicum virgatum (switchgrass), 1542 nucleotides long. RefSeq lists it as uncharacterized. The record is from RefSeq and is a predicted model, not a curated record. Lineage: Eukaryota; Viridiplantae; Streptophyta; Magnoliopsida; Poales; Poaceae. The transcript is spliced from 2 exons.
GACAGCCUGCACAAGCGCAAGAAGUUAGCUUGAAUUCUCUAGUUGUCCCGAGAUGAUCUUGUAAGGUAAUAGCACUUCCAUUGUCCUGGCACCUAUGUCCUCUUAACAGGUAAUAAUGAUUUAAUAUCCUAAACCUUUUUUGGGAUGAUGUUUGGAUUGCAGAGGUUCCUUUGAGAAUUCUCAUCCCCAAAGCCUACUCUUAUUGUAGGGUUAAGUGUGCAAUGGUCGGCCAAUGUUUAGUGGAAGGGGAGCUACGUUUUGACUUCUGCAGGGCUUUUGCCCAAGAGGAUUUGCAGGAAUGGGAGGAUUUAAAUCGGCUGGUGCAGGAUGUUUCUCUAAACUUGGUUCAGUAUCAAGUGUUUUAGGCACUGGAAAAGUCAAAAUGUCAGACCUAUGUACAGAUUUUUGACAUUUAGAUGAAAUUAAAAGGUUUCAUGUGGUUAGCAAUGCAACAGAGGUUACAGACAGGGACAGCUCUGAAAAAGAGAAGAAAUGGAAAGGGGAUCAGUGUUGUGGUCUUUGUAGGGUGGAUGAGGAUGUCGAUCACAUCUUCUUUCGGUGUGUGGUAGCACAGUUUACUUGGUCUUGCUUCAGAGAGGCUCUCAGGCGGAGGGGGAUUCCUAGCACCACCAUGCAGGAUGUUUUGGAAAAUUGGAUCCCCCCCCCCUUUUUUUUUUUUGGGUGGGGGUGGGGGGGGGCGAUUAAGGGAGAGUUUGUAUGAGAGCCUAUGGGGAUUAUGCUCAGAAUUUGUGCUUGUUUGCAGAGAUGGAAGGUGAGAUUACGUGCUGCUGAUCAAGAGAAGCUGGACAGAUGGAUGAUUGAAGUUCGAGCGUGGGUGGAGACAUAUUCGAACGAUUCAGGAGGCCUCGGAGGAAAUAUUUUGUUAGCUGGACGAUGCCAUGAACAACCGUUGCCUAUCCCACUUCGAAGCAUAUGGGCGAUUCAGAAGAACAUCAAAAGACGAGAGCCACUAAGUACCUGAGCGGCGGGGGAAUGGCGCCGCGACGCGGGAGGCGGGCAGGCUGCAGGGCACCGGAGCGCAGAGGAGAGCGCCUGGGCGUCGGAGGGGCACCGGCCGCGCCGCCGCAGCGGCGGCUAGCAUCUCGGCACCGGUGCGGUCAGCGGAGCAGGCGCAGUGGCGCAGCGCAGGCCUAGAGAUCAAGCUUGCUAACCCUAGGAGGAGGAGGACAGAGGAGUAAAGGCCAGUUUGGGGAGCUUCAGGUGGGUGGGCUGGAGUGGACAACGGGUAGGUGUAGCACGUGGUGUCAGAAGCCGUGUGAUCAUGACAGUGUGAGGCGGCGGCGGGCGGCCGGCUGUGUCGCCGCUCGCCGGCGAGGCGAUUCCAGCAGCGCCGCAGGCUUAUUUGGCACCGAUCCUUCGAGUUUGAGCGACCCAGAUCGAGGCCGGUCAGCCUCAGAGUCAAAGGUAUCCAGACAGCUACUGUGCAAGCUAUUGCAAUUUCUUCAGGUUGUUCGCUGCCUCGACUCCCUCGAGCAUUUCUGAGAACCAAUUUCUGAAGCUCUGUACAAGCAGUUCCAUUCA